RNAcentral lists this non-coding RNA (153 nucleotides) under Roseburia faecis. The record is from RNAcentral. Lineage: Bacteria; Bacillati; Bacillota; Clostridia; Lachnospirales; Lachnospiraceae.
GCAAUUUAGAGUCUGUUAGAAUUUUGUCAUAAGUCAGCAAUUCCCGUACAUGGAAGUACGGGAAAGUUGGAAUCGCACCCGGACGGUGCGUUUCCAACGGUUGCGUCCGGCUUAGGAACCCUGAAUUCAAAAUUCUUAUAGCCUCUUAAUUGC